UCCCUACGGGACGCAGCAGUAGGGAAUCUUCCACAAUGGGCGAAAGCCUGAUGGAGCAACGCCGCGUGGGUGAAGAAGGUCUUCGGAUCGUAAAACCCUGUUGUUAGGGAAGAAAGUGCGUGAGAGUAACUGUUCACGUUUCGACGGUAUCUAACCAGAAAGCCACGGCUAACUACGUGCCAGCAGCCGCGGUAAUACGUAGGUGGCAAGCGUUAUCCGGAUUUAUUGGGCGUAACGGGAACGCAGGCGGGCUUUUACGUCUGAUGUGAAAGCGUUCGGCUUAACAGGAGUAUAGCAUUG
RNAcentral lists this ribosomal RNA (300 nucleotides) under uncultured bacterium. RNAcentral describes it as "bacterial SSU rRNA". It matches the Rfam family "Bacterial small subunit ribosomal RNA", at positions 337 to 628 of the family's 1533-position model. The record is from RNAcentral.